This 26-nucleotide non-coding RNA is filed under the name Cricetulus griseus (Chinese hamster). The record is from RNAcentral. Lineage: Eukaryota; Metazoa; Chordata; Mammalia; Rodentia; Cricetidae.
UAUAGAAAUGGGAGAGGGGAAAAGGA